UUGCUUCAGCAGCAUAUAUACUAAAAUUGGAACAAUACAGAGAAGAUAGCAUGGCCCCCGUGCAAGGAUGACACACAAAUUGAAAAGUAUUCCAUAUUUAA
This 101-nucleotide small nuclear RNA is filed under the name Zalophus californianus (California sea lion). The record is from RNAcentral. Lineage: Eukaryota; Metazoa; Chordata; Mammalia; Carnivora; Otariidae.